RNAcentral lists this ribosomal RNA (466 nucleotides) under uncultured bacterium. RNAcentral describes it as "partial 16S ribosomal RNA". It matches the Rfam family "Bacterial small subunit ribosomal RNA", at positions 28 to 507 of the family's 1533-position model. The record is from RNAcentral.
GAUGAACGCUGGCGGCGUGCUUAACACAUGCAAGUCGAACGAUGAAGCCCAGCUUGCUGGGUGGAUUAGUGGCGAACGGGUGAGUAACACGUGAGUAACCUGCCCUUAACUCUGGGAUAAGCCUGGGAAACUGGGUCUAAUACCGGAUAGGAGCGUCCACCGCAUGGUGGGUGUUGGAAAGAUUUAUCGGUUUUGGAUGGACUCGCGGCCUAUCAGCUUGUUGGUGAGGUAAUGGCUCACCAAGGCGACGACGGGUAGCCGGCCUGAGAGGGUGACCGGCCACACUGGGACUGAGACACGGCCCAGACUCCUACGGGAGGCAGCAGUGGGGAAUAUUGCACAAUGGGCGCAAGCCUGAUGCAGCGACGCCGCGUGAGGGAUGACGGCCUUCGGGUUGUAAACCUCUUUCAGUAGGGAAGAAGCGAAAGUAACGGUACCUGCAGAAGAAGCACCGGCUAACUACGUG